UACAGAGGUCCCAAGCGUUGUUCGGAUUCAUUGGGCGUAAAGGGUGCGUAGGUGGCGCCGUAAGUGGGGUGUGAAAUUUCGGAGCUUAACUCCGAAACUGCAUUCCAUACUGCGGUGCUUGAGGACUGGAGAGGAGACUGGAAUUCAUGGUGUAGCAGUGAAAUGCGUAGAGAUCAUGAGGAAGACCAGUGGCGAAGGCGGGUCUCUGGACAGUUCCUGACACUGAGGCACGAAGGUCAGGGGAGCAAACGGG
This 253-nucleotide ribosomal RNA is filed under the name uncultured bacterium. RNAcentral's name for it is "partial 16S ribosomal RNA". It matches the Rfam family "Bacterial small subunit ribosomal RNA", at positions 524 to 776 of the family's 1533-position model. The record is from RNAcentral.